RNAcentral lists this ribosomal RNA (253 nucleotides) under uncultured bacterium. RNAcentral's name for it is "partial 16S ribosomal RNA". It matches the Rfam family "Bacterial small subunit ribosomal RNA", at positions 524 to 776 of the family's 1533-position model. The record is from RNAcentral.
UACGAAGGGGGCGAGCGUUGUUCGGAAUUACUGGGCGUAAAGGGCGCGUAGGCGGCCCCUUUUGUCGCGUGUGAAAGCCCCGGGCUCAACCUGGGAGGUGCGCGCGAAACGGGGGGGCUUGAGUUCGGGAGAGGAGAGUGGAAUUCCCAGUGUAGAGGUGAAAUUCGUAGAUAUCGGGAGGAACACCGGUGGCGAAGGCGGCGACCUGGGACAAUACUGACGCUGAGGUGCGAAAGCGUGGGGAGCAAACAGG